AACGCUAGCUACAGGCUUAACACAUGCAAGUCGAGGGGCAGCAUCAUCAAAGCUUGCUUUGAUGGAUGGCGACCGGCGCACGGGUGAGUAACACGUAUCCAACCUGCCGACAACACUGGGAUAGCCUUUCGAAAGAAAGAUUAAUACCGGAUGGCAUAAUUAUUCCGCAUGGGAUAAUUAUUAAAGAAUUUCGGUUGUCGAUGGGGAUGCGUUCCAUUAGGCAGUUGGCGGGGUAACGGCCCACCAAACCUACGAUGGAUAGGGGUUCUGAGAGGAAGGUCCCCCACAUUGGAACUGAGACACGGUCCAAACUCCUACGGGAGGCAGCAGUGAGGAAUAUUGGUCAAUGGACGAGAGUCUGAACCAGCCAAGUAGCGUGAAGGAUGACUGCCCUAUGGGUUGUAAACUUCUUUUAUACGGGAAUAAAGUGAGCCACGUGUGGCUUUUUGUAUGUACCGUAUGAAUAAGGAUCGGCUAACUCCGUGCCAGCAGCCGCGGUAAUACGGAGGAUCCGAGCGUUAUCCGGAUUUAUUGGGUUUAAAGGGAGCGUAGGCGGGUUGUUAAGUCAGUUGUGAAAGUUUGCGGCUCAACCGUAAAAUUGCAGUUGAUACUGGCGACCUUGAGUGCAACAGAGGUAGGCGGAAUUCGUGGUGUAGCGGUGAAAUGCUUAGAUAUCACGAAGAACUCCGAUUGCGAAGGCAGCUUACUGGGAUUGUAACUGACGCUGAUGCUCGAAAGUGUGGGUAUCAAACAGGAUUAGAUACCCUGGUAGUCCACACAGUAAACGAUGAAUACUCGCUGUUGGCGAUAUACAGUCAGCGGCCAAGCGAAAGCAUUAAGUAUUCCGCCUGGGGAGUACGCCGGCAACGGUGAAACUCAAAGGAAUUGACGGGGGCCCGCACAAGCGGAGGAACAUGUGGUCUAAUUCGAUGAUACGCGAGGAACCUUACCCGGGCUUAAAUUGCAACUGACGGAACCGGAAACGGUUCUUUCUUCGGACAGUUGUGAAGGUGCUGCAUGGUUGUCGUCAGCUCGUGCCGUGAGGUGUCGGCUUAAGUGCCAUAACGAGCGCAACCCUUACGGGUAGUUACCAUCAGGUUAUGCUGGGGACUCUACCCGGACUGCCGUCGUAAGAUGUGAGGAAGGUGGGGAUGACGUCAAAUCAGCACGGCCCUUACGUCCGGGGCUACACACGUGUUACAAUGGAGGGUACAGAAGGCAGCUACACGGCGACGUGGUGCUAAUCCCAAAAGCCUCUCUCAGUUCGGAUUGGAGUCUGCAACCCGACUCCAUGAAGCUGGAUUCGCUAGUAAUCGCGCAUCAGCCACGGCGCGGUGAAUACGUUCCCGGGCCUUGUACACACCGCCCGUCAAGCCAUGAAAGCCGGGGGUACU
RNAcentral lists this ribosomal RNA (1394 nucleotides) under uncultured organism. RNAcentral describes it as "SSU rRNA". It matches the Rfam family "Bacterial small subunit ribosomal RNA". The record is from RNAcentral.